AACGAACGCUGGCGGCAUGCCUAACACAUGCAGGUCGAACGAGACCUUCGGGUCUAGUGGCGCACGGGUGCGUAACGCGUGGGAACCUGCCCUUAGGUUCGGAAUAACUCCCCGAAAGGGGUGCUAAUACCGGAUAAUGUCUUCGGACCAAAGAUUUAUCGCCUUUGGAUGGGCCCGCGUUGGAUUAGCUAGUUGGUAGGGUAAAAGCCUACCAAGGCGACGAUCCAUAGCUGGUCUGAGAGGAUGAUCAGCCACACUGGGACUGAGACACGGCCCAGACUCCUACGGGAAGCAGCAGUGGGGAAUAUUGGACAAUGGGCGAAAGCCUGAUCCAGCAAUGCCGCGUGAGUGAUGAAGGCCUUAGGGUUGUAAAGCUCUUUUACCCGGGAAGAUAAUGACAGUACCGGGAGAAUAAGCUCCGGCUAACUCCGUG
RNAcentral lists this ribosomal RNA (433 nucleotides) under uncultured bacterium. RNAcentral's name for it is "partial 16S ribosomal RNA". It matches the Rfam family "Bacterial small subunit ribosomal RNA", at positions 29 to 507 of the family's 1533-position model. The record is from RNAcentral.